This is a small nuclear RNA of Macrobrachium nipponense, 107 nucleotides long. NCBI's taxonomy places the organism in Eukaryota, Metazoa, Arthropoda, Malacostraca, Decapoda, Palaemonidae. The record is from RefSeq and is a predicted model, not a curated record.
GUACUUGCUUCGGCAGUACAUAUACUAAAAUUGGAACGAUACAGAGAAGAUUAGUAUAUGUACUGGCGAAGCAAGUACAAUAAUAAUAAUUUAUUUGCAACAUAUCU